This 433-nucleotide ribosomal RNA is filed under the name uncultured bacterium. RNAcentral describes it as "partial 16S ribosomal RNA". It matches the Rfam family "Bacterial small subunit ribosomal RNA", at positions 29 to 507 of the family's 1533-position model. The record is from RNAcentral.
AACGAACGCUGGCGGCAUGCCUAACACAUGCAAGUCGAACGAGCCCUUCGGGUCUAGUGGCGCACGGGUGCGUCACGCGUGGGAACCUGCACUUAGGUUCGGCAUAACUACCCGAAAGGGGUGCUAAUACCGGAUAAUGUCUUCGGACCAAAGAUUUAUCGCCUUUGGAUGGUCCCUCGUUGGAUUAGCUAGUUGGUAGGGUAAAAGCCUACCAAGGCGACGAUCCAUAGCUGGUCUGAGAGGAUGAUCAGCCACACUGGGACUGAGACACGGCCCAGACUCCUACGGGAGGCAGCAGUGGGGAAUAUUGGACAAUGGGCUAAAGCCUGAUCCAGCAAUGCCGCGUGAGUGAUGAAAGCCUUAGGGUUGUAAAGCUCUUUUACCCGGGAUGAUAAUGACAGUACCGGGAGAAUAAGCUCCGGCUAACUCGGUG